This 87-nucleotide transfer RNA is filed under the name Klebsiella phage vB_KpnS_Uniso31. RNAcentral describes it as "tRNA-Tyr". The record is from RNAcentral. Lineage: Duplodnaviria; Heunggongvirae; Uroviricota; Caudoviricetes; Demerecviridae.
CGUUUCUUCCACGACCACAUGGUAGAGCUGGGAGCAUGGGAAGAUAUGAGCGGCUGGAUCUCUGACGACCAGUUUGAAGCUCUAAAC